Molecule: ribosomal RNA, 486 nt
Filed under: uncultured bacterium
Lineage: Bacteria
Description: partial 16S ribosomal RNA
Rfam family: Bacterial small subunit ribosomal RNA
Source: RNAcentral
AUUGAACGCUGGCGGCAUGCCUUACACAUGCAAGUUGAACGGCAGCACGGGUGCUUGCCCCUGGUGGCGAGUGGCGAACGGGUGAGUAAUACAUCGGAACAUGUCCUGUAGUGGGGGAUAGCCCGGCGAAAGCCGGAUUAAUACCGCAUACGAUCUACGGAUGAAAGCGGGGGACCUUCGGGCCUCGCGCUAUAGGGUUGGCCGAUGGCUGAUUAGCUAGUUGGUGGGGUAAAGGCCUACCAAGGCGACGAUCAGUAGCUGGUCUGAGAGGACGACCAGCCACACUGGGACUGAGACACGGCCCAGACUCCUACGGGAGGCAGCAGUGGGGAAUUUUGGACAAUGGGCGAAAGCCUGAUCCAGCAAUGCCGCGUGUGUGAAGAAGGCCUUCGGGUUGUAAAGCACUUUUGUCCGGAAAGAAAUCCUUGGCCCUAAUACGGUCGGGGGAUGACGGUACCGGAAGAAUAAGCACCGGCUAACUACGUG